Molecule: non-coding RNA, 691 nt
Filed under: Pelodiscus sinensis (Chinese soft-shelled turtle)
Lineage: Eukaryota; Metazoa; Chordata; Testudines; Trionychidae
Description: Eukaryotic small subunit ribosomal RNA
Rfam family: Eukaryotic small subunit ribosomal RNA
Source: Rfam by way of RNAcentral
GGGAGUAUGGUUGCAAAGCUGAAACUUAAAGGAAUUGACAGAAGGGCACCACCAGGAGUGGAGCCUGUGGCUUAAUUUGACUCAACAUGGGAAACCUCACCUGGCCUGGAUAUGGAAAGGAUUGACAGAUUGAUAGCUCUUUCUCGAUUCUGUGGGUGGUAUUGCAUGACCAUUCUUAGUUGGUGGAGUGAUUUGUCUGGUUAAUUCUGAUAACGAACAAGACUCUGGCAUGCUAACUAGUUACAUGACCCCCUAGUGGUCGGUGUCCAACUUCUUAGAGGGACAAGUGGCGUUCAGCCACCUGAUAUUGAGCAAUAACAGGUCUGUAAUACCCUUAAAUGUCUGGGGCUGCACGUGCGCUACACUGACUGGCUUAGCAUGUGUCUACCCUAUGCCGACAGCUGCAGGUAACCUGUUGAACCCCGUUCGUGAUGGGGAUUAGGGAUUGCAAUUAUUCCCCAUGAAUGAGGAAUUCCCAGUAAGUGCGGGUCAUAAGCUCACGUUGAUUAAGUCCCUGCCUUUUGUACACACUGCCCGUUGCUACUACUGAUUGGAUGGUUUAGUGAGGUCCUUGGAUCAACCCUGCUGGGGUUGGUCAUGGCCCUGGUGGAGCGCCGAGAAGACGGUCGAACUUGACUAUCUAGAGGAAGUAAAAGUCGUAACAAGGUUUCUGUAGGUGAACCUGCAGAAG